This is a long non-coding RNA of Equus caballus (horse), 12388 nucleotides long. The record is from Ensembl. Lineage: Eukaryota; Metazoa; Chordata; Mammalia; Perissodactyla; Equidae.
GGAGGGUUUAUUCUGAGCUGAAACCUGAGGACCAUGACCUGGGGCCUUUCUUCCCGAAGGUAGAAAGGGCACCAAAGAAGUGGGGUGUACAGAGUGGUUGCAUACCCCCAGAGAAGAUGUUUCAUAUAGGAUUGAAAUGUCCCAUUUACAAUAGUGCGAGACUGCUCUGUCGGCACAGUGAUUGAUGGAAGUAGCAGGUAUGUCUUCUGUCUCAGUGAACACAGCAGGGUGGCAGUCUGUUGUCUCCAGCUGAGUGGUCACAAGUGAGCGCCGCAAUCAGUUCCUAGCCUAAGAAAAGAUGCUUAAUAUUUAAGGAAAUGCCAACGUUGGGAGGGGGAGGGAAGUUGCACCUUUAUUGAAAGGGCCUUUGUUCUUGCCAUAGGAAAUGUAUAUACAAUGCAUGCUCAAUGGCCACGGUCAGGCCCUUUUGGAAAAAACAAAGUCAGGCCAAAUUAGCUUUAUACCAAAUGGCUUCCUCAUAUACUUCAAUAUAUACUAUUGCUUGCCAUUUUUAUUUGUCACGUUGUUCAGGAGUUGAUGGCAUGUGGUUCCAGCAUGGCUGUCACGUGUUACAGAGGUGGAUGGCACGUGGUCAGGCAUGUGUGACAUGCAACUCCGGUGUUGGUGACAUGUGAUGCAGGUGUGUGUGCCACAUGCCUCACACGUGAUUCAGGAGCAGCUGUCACGUGGUUCAUGCCUGGCAGGCACUUGGUUCAGACUUGGCUGGCAUGUAUUUCAGGAGUGGCUCACAUGUGGCUCACGUGUGGCUGACACGUGGCUCACACAUGGCUCAGGUGUUUUUCAAGUGGGUCCCACAUGUGGUUCAGGCAUUGCUGACAUGUCAUUCAGGCACGGCUUGCAUGUUGUUUACAUGUGGUUCACAGGUGGUUCAGGCGUGGCUUCCAUGUGGCUCACAUAUGGCUCAGACAUGGCUCUUGUGUCGCUCACAUGUUUCUCAGAUGUUGUUCAAGCAUUGCUCUCAGUUGUUUCAGGCAUGGUUCAGGUGUGUCUCACAUAUGGUUCAGGUGUAGUUCAGGUGUGGCUCACAUGUGGUUCAGGUUUCCUCAAGUGUGUCUCACAUGUGGUUCAGGCAUGGUUCAGGUGUGGCUCACACAUGGCUCAGGUGUAGUUCAGGUGUGGCUCACAAAUCGUUCACGUGUGGGUCACACAUGUUUCUGUUGAGGCUGACACGAGGUUCAGGUGUGGCUCACACAUGGCUCAGGUGUGGCUGACAUGUGGUUCAGGUGUGGCUGAUAGGUGCUUCCAGCAUGGGUGACACAUGGUUCAGGUGUGUCUGACAGGUUGUUCAGGCAUGCUGACACGUACCUAAGGUAUGGCUCACACGUGACUCAGGCAUUGCUGACACAUGAUUGAGAUGUGGUUCACACGUGACUCAGGUGUGGCUGACAGGUCACUCAGUGGUGGCUUACACAAAGUUCAGGAGUGGCUGAUGCUUGUUUCAGGCAUAGCUGCUGUGUGGCUCAGGGGUGGCUGGAGUGUGUUUCAGGCGUGGCUGGCAUGUGGUUCAGGUAGGGGUGAGAAAUGGUUCAUGCAUUGGUGACACAUGGCUCAGGCAUGGGUGACAGGUGGUUCAGGCUUGUCUGACACGUGGCUCAAGAGUGGCUGGCAUGUGGCUCAUGCUUGACUGAGGCAUGGCUGUUGCACGGUUCAGGUGUGGCUGGCUCGUGGUUCAGACGUGGCUGGCAUGUGGUUCAUGUGUGGCUGACACAUGUUUCAUGCUUAGUUGACUUGUGGUUCAGGAAUGGGUCACACGUGGCUCUGGCAUGUCUCUCACUUGUCUCCAGCUUGUCUCACAAGUGAUGCAAGCAUUUCCUGAUCAUGUUUCAGGCCUUUUUUACAUGGUUCAGGCAUGGAUGAGAUGUGGUUCAGGCAUAGCCAGCUGUUGGUUCGGGCAUUGGUGUCACAUUGUGCUGACGUGGCCAGCAUGUGUUUCAGGCGAGGCUUAAAUGUGAUUCAGGCAUCAAGAAAAUGUGAUUCUGGCAUGGUCGAAAUGUGGGUCACACAUGGCUGUCACGUGUACAGGCGUGGCAGAAGUGUGGUCCAGGUGUGGUGGAAAAGUCAUUCAGGCAUGGUAGAAACGUGGUUCACGGAUGGCAGAAACGUGGUUCAGGUGUGGUGGGAACCUGGUUCAUGUGCUGAUGGCACAUUGUUCUGAGGUGGCCAACACAUGUGUUACAAGUGGCAGGGACAUUGUACAGGCGUGGCAGAAACGUGGUCCAGGCAUAGGGGAAAAGUCAUUCAGGUGUGGCAGAAACAUGGUUCAGGUGUGGCAGAAACGUGGUUAAGGCAUUGCCUGCCCGUGGUUCAGGCAUGGUGCAAACGUGGUUCAGGUGGGGCAGGCACAUGGUUCAGGCAUGGCUGGCAUGUGUUUCUGGCAUGGCUGGCAUGUUGUUCUGGUGUGGCUGACACAAUGUGAAGGUGUAGCCAGCACGUGGUUUAUGAGUUGCCAGUACCUAGUUCAGGCUUCACUGGCACGAGGAUCCAGCAUGCUCAGCAUGUGGAUCUGGCUUGGUCAGUACAUGGUUCAAGUGUAGCAGGCACGUGGUCCAGGCAUGGCAGGCACGUGGUUCAGGUGUGGUCAGCACAUGGUUCCGGUGUGGCUGGUACGUGUUUCCAGCAUGGAUGGUGCUGCUUCAGGCAUGGAAAGCAUGCAGUUCCAGGAUGGCCAGUAGGUGUAUCAAGCAUGGCCAGCAUGUGUGUCAGGCAUGGCCUACAUGUGGUUCAUGAGUUGCCAGCACGUGGUUCAUGCAUGUAAGGCAUGUGGUUCAAUAUUUGAUGGCACAUGGUUCAGGCAUGGUAGACACCUGGUUCAGGUAUUGCUGGCAUGUGGUUCAGGUGUGGAUGGCAUGUGCUUCCAGCAUGGCUGGCACAUGGGUCAGGUGUGGCCAGCACAUGGUUCCGGUGUGGCCAUCAUGUGGUUCCUCCAUGGCAGUUACAUGGUAUAGGCAUAGCCAGCACAUGGUUCUGGGGUGGCUGGCACAUGAUUCAGGCAUGGCCAGCAUGUGUUUCUGACAUGGCAGGCACAUUGCUCUUGUGUGGGCAGCACAUGGUUCAUGUGUGGUCGAAAUGUGGUUCCGCCAUGACCGGCACAUGGUUCAGGCAUGGCUGGCAUGAGGAUCCGGCCUGCUUGGCAUGUGGAUCUGGCUUGGUCAGCACAUGGUUCAGGCAUGGUUGAAAUGUGGUUCAAGCGUGGGAGACACUUUGUUCAGGCAUGGGUGACACAUGGUCCUAGUUGGCUGACACAUGGCUCACGUGUGGCUUGCAUGUGCUUUAGGUUGUCUGGCACAUUGAUCAGCUGUGGCUGGCAUAUGUAUAUGUGGUGUGUGACACGUGUUUCAGGCCUGGCUGACAUGUUGUUCAACCACAGCAGGCAUGUGGUUCAGUCGUGGCCAACACAUGGUUCAGGAGUGGAUGGCAUAUGCUUCAGGUGUGGCUGGCAUGUGGUUCAGGCAUGGCUGGCACGUGGUUCCAGCAUGGAUGGCACAUGGUUCCGGCAUGGCUGUCAUGUGCUUCAGGCUUGGCUGUUACAUGGUAUAGGCAUGGUUGGCAUGUUUCUGGCAUGGCUGGCAUGUUGAUUUUGCAUGGCCAACACAUGGUUCAGGUGUGGUCAGCAAGUGAUUCAGGCAUGGCCGGUACAUGGUUCAACACUGGCUGGCACGUAGUUCAGUUGUGGAGGGCACGUGGUUCGAGCAUGGCAGGCACAUGGUUCCAGCGUGGGUGGCAUGUUGAUCCAUUUUGGUUGGCAUAUAUUUGGGGCAAGGCCAGCAAAUCGUUCAGGCAUGGCUCUUAUAUAGCACAGGUGUAGCUAAAUUGUGGUUAACUUGUGGUUCAGGUGUGGUUGAUGCAUGGCUCAGGUUUGUCUGAGUUGCUCAGGCAUGCUUUACACAUGGCUGACUCCUGGUUCAGGCAUGCCUGACGUGUGGGCCAGCCAUAGCUGGCACUUGAUACAGGUGUGUCUGGUGCACAGUACUGACAUGUCUGAUGUGUGGUUCAGGUGCGGCUGGCACAUUGUUUAGAUGUGGCAGGCACGUGGGUCAGGCAUGGCCAGUAAUUGGUUCAGGUGUGGCUGGCAUGUGGUUUAGGCAUGGGUGGCGUGUGUUUCUGAAGUGGCUGACAGGUGGUACAGGUGUGUCUGGCAUGUGGUUCACACGUGGAAGGCAUGUGGCUCAGGCAUGGCUGGCACAUAGUUCAGGCGUGCCUGGCAUGUGGAUCAGGUGUGCCUGGCACGUGAUUCAGGCAUAGCAGGCAUGUGGUUCUGGUGGGGCAGGCAAGUGAUUCCAGCAUGUCUCACACGUGGUUCAGGUGUGGGUGACAUGUGGUCUAGGCAUUGGUGGCACAUGAUUCAGGCAUGGCUGACUGGUGUUUCUGUAGUGGUUGAUACGUGGUUCAGCUGUGGUUCAGACAUGGGUGACACAUGGUUCAGCUGUGCCUCUAACGUGACUCAGGUGUGUUUCUGGUUCAGGUGUGGCUCACACAUGGUUCAUGUGUGGGUGACACAUGGUUCAGGCAUAGCCCACAUGUCAUUCAUGCAUGGCUCACACUUGGUUCAGGCAUAGCUCAUCCGUGGCUCACACGAAGUUCAGUAAUGACACACAAGUUCUCCAGGCGUAGCUCUCAUGUGGUUCAUGCAUGGCUUGCAGGUGGUUCAGGCAUGGCUGGCAUGUGGUUCAAAUGUGACUGACAUGUGACUCAUGCAUGGCUCACAUGUGUGUCAGGCACAGCUCACACAUGGUUCAGGUGUGGCUCACAUGUGCCUCAGGUGUGGCUCAGGCAUUGCUGACAUGUGGUACAGGUGUGGCUCCUAUGUUUUUCAGGUGUGGCUCUCUCAUGGUUCAGAUGUGACUCACACGUGAUUCAGGCUAGCUUGCCCAUUGUACAGGCGUGGCUAACACGUGGUUCAGGUGUGGCUGGCACAUGGUUCAGGUGUGGCCAGCGUGUGCUUCAGGUGUGGGUGACAGGUGGUUCAGGCAUUGGUGACACAUGGCCCAGGCAUGGGUGACAGGUUGUUCAGGCUUUGGUGACACGUGGCUCAGGAUUGGCUGGCACAUUGCUCACGCUUGACUCAGGUGUGGCUGUCACAUGAUACAGGUGUGGCUGGCUCAUGGUUCAGAUGUGCCUGGCAUGUGGUUCAUGUGUGGCUGAAAUGUGGUUCAGGCUUGGUUGAUACAUGGUUCAGGCGGGGGUGACACAUGGCUCUGGCAUGUCUCUCAUGUGACUCAAACGUGUCUCACAAGUGAUACAGGCAUGGCUUGCUCGUGUUAGAGGCAUUUUUAACAUGUGGUUCAGGUGUGGCUGAAACAUGGUUCAGGUGUGGCGGACACAUGGUUCAGGCAUGGCUGGCACAUGUUUCAGACGUGCCCAGCAUGUGGAUCAGGAAUGCCCUACACGUGGUUCCAGUGUGCCUGUCAUGUGGAUACAGCAUGGUUGGCAUGUGCUUCGGGUGUGGCAGGCACGUGGUUCAGGCAUUCCAGCUACAGGUAUCAGGCCUGGCAGGAACAUGUUUCUGCUGUGGCCAACACGUGGUUCAUUCAUGGCCAGCAUUUUGUACAUGCAUGGCAGAAACGUGUUUCAGGCAUGGUGGAAACGUGGUUCAUGUGUGGCUGGCUUGUGGUUCAGGUGUGGCAACCACGUGGUUCAGAUGUGCCAUUAACAUGGUUCAGGUGGGGAGAAGACAUGUUUCUGGCAUGACUGGCAUGUUGUUCAGUUGUGUCAGUCUCGUGGUUCAGGGAUGGUUGGCGCAUUGUUCAAGGGUGGCUGUAAAGUAUUUCAGGGGUGGGUGACAUAUGGUUCAGGUGUGGGUGACAUGAGGUUCUUGAGUGGCUGGAAUGUGGUUGACAUGUGGCUGGCAUGUGUUUCAGGGCAGCUGGCAUGUUGAUGAGUCAUGGCUGUGAUGUGUUUGUGUCAUUUUUGACACGUGUUUCAGGCGUGGCUGACAUGUCUUUCAGGCUUGGCUGGCUCAUGGAUCAGGCGUGCCUGGCUCAUGGUUCAGUCAUGGCUGGCACAUAGUUCAGGCAUGGCUGGCAUGUGGUUCGUGUGUGGCUGGCACAUAGUUCCAACAUGCAUGACACGUGGUUCUGGCAUGGCUGGCACUUGGUUCUGGCAUGGAUGGCAUGUAGUUCAGGUGGCGAUGGCAUGUCAUUCUGGUGUGGUUGGCACAUGGGUCAGGAGUGCCUGGCUGGUGGUUCCUGUGUGGCCAGCAUGUACUUCUUGCAUUGAUGGCAUGUGCUUCACAUGUGGCUGGCACAUGGUUCAGGCAUGGCAGAAAGGUGGUUCAGGUGUGGCUGGCACGUGGUUCAGGGGUGGAUGGCACAUGGAUCUGGUGUGGUCAGCAUGUGGUUCAGGCGUGGGACUCACGUGGUUCAGGUGUGGCCAGCACCUGUUGUCAGUGUGCAAGAACCAUGCUUCAGGCUUGGAUGGCACAUGCUUCCAGUGAGUCCGGCAGGUGUUUCUGGCUUGUCAGCACAUGGGUCACUUUUGGCCAGGACAUGGUUCAUGCAUGGAUGGCACGUGGUUCAAGCUCUGAUGGCAAGUGGUUCAGGCGUGACUGGAAUAUGAUUCAGGUGUGGCCGGCACGUAUUUCCAACAUGGUCAGCAGAUGGAUCUUGCAUGACAGCCAUGUGGUUCAAGCAUGUCUGGCGUGUGGUUCAGGUGUGGUGGAAAUGUAGUUCAAGGGUGGCAAAAACAUCAUUCACAUGUGGGUGAAUGGUGGCUCAGGUGUGGUGGAAACGUUGUCCAACCAUGACAUGCUUGUGUUUCAGGCAUGUCUGGCACAUGGAUCCAGCGUGGCUUGCAUGUGGUUUAGGCAUGGCAGAAACGUCAUUCAGGCAUGGCUGGCAUGUAGUUGAGGCAUGGCUGAAACGUGCUUCAGGUGUGGGUGACAUGUGGUUCAAAUUUCGGUCACAAGUGGCUCUGGUCUGGCUGGCAUGUGGUUCAUGCAUGACUCACAUGUGGUUCAGGGUGUCUGGCACAUUGAUCAGUCAUGGCUGGGACGUGUUUAUAUCAUGAGUGACACGUGUUUCAGGUGUGGCUGAGAUGUGUCUCAUGUAUGGCUGGCAAGUGGUUCAGGCAUGCCCAGCACAUGAUUUAGGCAUGGAUGGCAUGUGUUUCUGUUGUGGCAAGCACGUGGGUAAUACCAGGCCAGCCCAUGGCUCCGGCGUGGCUGUCAUGUACAUCUGGCAUGCCUGGGACGUUGUUCAUGCAUGGUGGAAAUGUGGUUCUGCUAUGGCUGGCAUGUGUUUCAGACAUUGAUGGCACAUGGUUCAGGCAUGGAAGGCACAUGGUUCAGGCAUGGCAGAAUCAUGGUUCAGGUAUGGCAGAAAUGUGGUUCAGUUGUGGCCAGCAAUUGUUUAGGCAUGGUUCAGGUGUGGCUGGCAUGUGCUUUAGGCAUGCCUGGCAUGUUGUUCUUGCUUGAGAGGCAUGUGGUUCACGUGUAGCAAGCAUGUGGUUCAUGAGUGGCUGGCAUGUGGCUCAGGCCUGGUGAAAACAUGGUUCAGGCAUGGCAGAAACGUUGUUCAGGUCAGGCUGGCAAGUGGUACAUGUGGGGCAGGGAUAUGGUUCAUGGGUAGCCAGCACAUGUUUCCAGCAUGACCAGCAUGUGGCGCCAGCAUGGCUGGCACAUUGUUCAGGUGUAGCCACCAAGUGUUUCAGGCAUGGCUGGCAUGUGGUUCAGGCAUGGCUGAAACAUGAUUCAGGCGUGUGUGACACAUUGUUCAGACAUGGGUGACACGUGGUUUUGGCAUGGCUGGCACAUGGUUCACAUGUGGCUGGCAUGUGGUUCAGGGUGGUAGGCAUGUUGAUCAGGUGUGGAUGGCACGUGUUUGUGUCUUGUGAGACAAGUGCUUCAGGCAUUAAUGGCAUGUGUUUCAGGCAUGGCCGGCAUGUGGUUCUAAGUGUUGAUGUGACAUGGUUGAGGCAUUGCCAGCAUGUGUUUCUGGCAUGGCUGGCACAUGCUUCAGGCAUUGCAGGCAUGUGGUACAGGCCUGGCAGAAUCCUGGUUUGGGUGUGGUGGAAACGUGGUUCAGGUCUGGCCAGCAACUGUUUCAAGCAUGGCUGGCAUGUGGUUCUGUCAUGACAGGCACAUAGUUCAGGUGUGGCAGAAAUGUGGUUCAGGAGUGGCUGGCAUGUUGUUCAGGCAUGGCGGAAACAUGGUUCAGUCAUGGAGGGAACAUGGUUCAGGUGGGGCCGGCAUGUGGUUCAGGCCUGGCUGGCACGUGGUUCAGACUUGGCUGAAAUGUGGUUCAGGAAUGUGUGAAACACUCUUCAGAACUGGGUGACAUGUGGUUUUGGCAUGGCUGUCACAUGGUUCACGUGUGGCUGGCAUAUGGUUCAGGGGGCUGGCAUGUGGUUCACCCAUGGCUGACACAUGACUGAAGCAUGUCUGGCACAUGACUCAGGUGUUGCUGACAGGUUAUUCAGUCGUGGCUCACAUAUUAUUCAGGCAUAGCUGAUGUGUGGUUCAUGGAUAGCUGGUAUGUGGCCGACGGGUGGCUGGAGUGUGGUUCAGGUGUGGCUGUCAUGUGGUUCAGGUAUUGACAGGUUGUAGUUCAGGCAUGGAAGGCACAUGGUUCUGGGGUGGCCAGCAUGUGGGUCAGGCAUUAGUGGACCUUGGUUCUGGUGUGGUUGGCCUGUGGUUCAGGCGUGGAUAGCACGUGGUUCAAUUGUGGCUCUCAUGUGGGUCAGGCAUGGACGGGACGUAGUUCAGGUGUGGAGGGCACAUGUUUCUGGCAUGGCUAGCAUGUGGGUCAGGAGUGGCUGAACCUUAGUUCUGGCAUGGCUGGCAUGUGGUUCUGGUGUGGCUGUUACAUGGUACAGGCAUGGCUGGCACAUUGAACUUGUGUGGCGGGCAUGUGUUUCUGGCAUGGCCAGCACGUGGGUCAGGCAUGACUGGCACGGUGGCACCUGGUUAAGGCAUGGCAGAAAUGUGUUUGUGGCAUGGAGGGCACGUGAUUCCAGCUUGGUUGUCAUGUGUUUCUUGUGUGGAUGGCACGUGCAUCUGUCAUGGUCGGCACAUGGUUCAGGCUGGGCUGGCAUGUGGUUUAAGCAUGGAUGGCAUGUGGUUCUGGUGUGGCCAGCACAUGACACUGGUGUGGCCAGCAUGCUGUCAUGUGGUUCAGGCCUGGCUAAAAUGUGGAUCAGGUGUGGGUGACAUGCUGUUGUGACAUGGGUGACACAUCAUUCUGGUGUGGCUGCCACAUAGUCCACACAUGACUGACAUGUGGUCAAGGUGUGCUGACAUGUUGAUUGUGUGUGUCUGGCACAUGUUUAUGUCAUGUGGUUCAGGCAUGGCUGGCACAUGAUUCACACAUUGCUCACACUUGACUCAGGUGUGGAUCACAUGUGGUUCAGGCAUGGCUGACACAUGACUCAGGUGUGACUGAUACGUGAUUCAGGCUUGGCUUACACGUGGUUCAGGUGUAGCUCAGUCGUGGCUCACAUGAACUUCAGUCAUGGCACAAAUCUUCUACAUGCAUGGCUCUCAUGUGGUUCAUUUGUGGCUUGCAUGUGACUCUGGUGUGGCUCACACGUGGUCCCUGCAUGGCUUGCAGGUGGUUCAGGCAUGGAUGACACGUGGUUCAAGAGUGACUGACACAUGACCCAGGCAUGGCUCUCACAUGUUUCAGCCUUGGCUCACAUGUGUUUCAGGUGUAGCUGACACAUGGUUGAGGUGUGGCUGACAUGUGACACAAGCAUUGCUCAGGCAUGGUUUAGGUGUGGCUCACAUGUGGUUCAGGUGAUGUUGAACCAUGGUGCAUAUGUGCUUCACAUGUUGUUCAUGAGUGGUUCAAGCAUGGUUCAAGCAUGGUUCAUAUAUAGUUCAUUCCUGGUUCAGGUGUGCCUCACACAUGGUUCAGGUAUAGUCCAGGUGUGACUCAAAACUGGUCAACGUGUGGCUCACAAGUGUUUCAGGAUUGGCUCACAGGUGGUUCAGGCAUUGCUGACACAUGGUGGAGGUGUGGCUGACAUGUGGCUCACUCAUGGCUCAGGCAUGGCUUGCACAUCGCUCAGGCAAAGCUGACAUGUGGAUCAUGGGUGGCUCCUGCGUGUCUCAGGCAUGGCUUACAUGUGGCUCCUGCAUGUUUAAUGUGUGGCAUGUUUGGUUCAGUCAUAGCUGACACGUGUUUAUGGUGUGGCUGGCAUGUGGUUCGGGCAUGGCUGGCAUGUGGCUCAGGUCUGGCACAGGUGAGGCUCACACAUUGCACACAUGUGGCUCAGGUUUGGCUCACAUGUGGCUGACUUGUUCAGCUGUGACUGACAGGUAUUUCAGGUGUGGCUGGCAUGUGCUUAACACAUGGCUGGCACGUGGUUCAACCGUGGCUGACACAUGACUGAGGCGUUUCUGACACGUGACUGAGGUGUGUCUGACACAUGACUCAGACAUGAUUGACACGUGACUCAGGUGUGGCUGACAGUGUACUCAGUCAUGGCUCACACAUUGUUCAGGAAUGGCUGACGUGUGGUUCUGGCAUAGCUGCCAUGAGGCUGAAAGGUGGCUAAAGUGUGGUUCAGACAUGGCUGGCAUGUGGUUCAGGUGUGGGUGAGAGGUGGUUCAGGCAUUGGUGACACAUGGCUCAUGUGCAGGUGACACAUGGUUCAGGAUUUGGUGACAUGUGGCCCAGGAAUGGCUGGCACAUGGCUCACACUUGACUCAGGCAUGGCUGUCGCAUGGUCAGGUGUGGUUGGCUUGUGAUUCAGAUGUGGCUGUCAUGUAGUUCAUGUGUGGCUAAAACGUGGUUCAGGCUUGGUUGACACAUGGUUAAGACUUGGGUGACACGUAGCUCUGGCAUGUCUCUCAUGUGCCGCAAGCAUGUCUCACAAGUGAUACAGGCGUGGCUUCCUCGUGUUUCAGGCCUUUUUUCAUGUGGUUCAGGCCUGGAUGGCACGUGGUUUAUGUUUCACCGGCACAUGGUAAAGGUGUGGCUGGACCUUGGUUCCAGUGUGGCUGGCAUGUGGUUCUCAUGUGGCCAUUACAUGGUACAGGCAUGGCUGGCACACUUUUCAGGCAUUGCUGGAACAUUGAACUUUUGUGGCCAGCACGUGGUUCAGGCAUGGCUGGCGUGUAGUUCAGGUGUGGUGGAAACGUGGUUCACACAUGGUGGAAAUGUGGUUCAGCCAUGACUGGCAUAUAGUUGAGGCAUGGAUGGCAUGUGGUUCAGGCAUGGCUGGCAGGUGGUUCAGGUGUGGCCAGCAGGUGGUUCAAGUUUGGCUGGCACAUGGUUCAGGUGUGGCUGGCACAUGGUUCAGGCAUGGCAGAAAUGUGAUUCAGACAUGGCUGGCAUGUGGUUCAGGGGUGGAUGGCAAAUGGAUCUGGCAUAGUCAGCAUGUGGGUCUGGCAUGGGAGUCACAUGGUUCAGGUGUGGCUGACACCUAUUGUCAGUGUGGAUGAACCAUGCCUCAGACAUGGAUGGCACAUGCUUCCAGCGUGUCCGGCAGGUGUUUAGGGCAUGGACGACACAUGGGUCAGUUUUGGCUGGCACAUGGUUCAGGCUUUGAUGGCACAUGGUUCAGGCAUGGCCAGAAUAUGGUUCAGGUGUGGCAGGCACGUGUUUCUGACAUGGCCAGCACAUUGAUCUUGAAUGACCGGCAUGUGGUUCAGGUGUGGUGGGAAUGUGGUUCAAGGGUGACAGGAACAUCACUCAGGCAUGGUGGAAUGGUGGUUCCGGCAUGGUGGAACUGUUGUUCAACCACAACAAGCACAUGUUUCAGGCAUGGCUGGCACAUGGAUCCAGCGUGUCUUGCACAUGGUAUAGAUGUGGCAGAAAUGUUAUUAAGGCAUGGCUGGCAUAUGGUUCAGGCAUAGUUGAAACAUGGUUCAAGCAAGGGGAACACGUGGUUCAGGCAUGGGUCACAGGUGGUUCUGGCAUGGCUGGCAUGUGGUUCACACAUGCCUCGCAUGUGGUUCAGGGUGGCUGGCACAUUGAUCAGUCAUGGCUGGAAAGUGUUUAUAUCGUGUGUGACACAUGUUUCAGGUGUGGCUGAGACGUGUCUCAUGCGUAGCUGGCAAGUGGUUCAGGAGUGACCGGCACAUGAUUCGGGCAUGGAUGGCACAUGUUUCUGUCAUGGCCAGCACAUGGGUAAUGCGUGGCCGGCACGUGGAUCCAGCAUGAUCAUCAUGUGGACCUGGCAUGUCUGGGCCAUUCUUCAUGUGUGGUGGAAACGUGGUUCCGGCAUGGCUGGCAUGUGUUUCAGACAUUGAUGGCAUGUGGUUCAGGCAUGGGAGGCACCUGGAUCCAGCAUUUUUCACCCAUGGUUCAGACAUGGCAGGCACAGGGUUCAGGCAUUGCAGGCAUGGGGUUCAGGCAUUGCAGGCAUGUGGUUCAGGCAUGGAGGGCACGUGAUUCCAGCAUGGUUGUCACGUGGUUCAGGUUUG